GAUGAAGAACGUAGUGAAAUGCGAUACUUGGUGUGAAUUGCAGAAUCCCGUGAACCAUCGAGUCUUUGAACGCAAGUUGCGCCCGAAGCCAUUAGGCCGAGGGCACGCCUGCCUGGGCGUCACACGUCGUUGCCCCCCCAUCUACUCCUUCGGGAUUGCGGGGGGCGGAUGAUGGCCUCCCGUGCGCCUCGUCGCGCGGUUGGCAUAAAUGCCAAGUCCUCGGCGACGCACGCCACGACAAUCGGUGGUUGCGAAACCUCGGUUGCCCGUCGUGUGCGGUCGUCGCGCAUCGAGGGCUCGAAAAAAUUGCCGGGCUCCGGCUCGGCUUUCAACGCGACCCCAGGUCAGGCGGGGUUACCCGCUGAAUUUAAGCACAUCAUAAGCGGAGGA
This 390-nucleotide unclassified non-coding RNA is filed under the name soil metagenome. RNAcentral describes it as "partial contains 5.8S ribosomal RNA, internal transcribed spacer 2, and large subunit ribosomal RNA". The stretch from base 1 to 122 matches the Rfam family "5.8S ribosomal RNA", at positions 35 to 154 of the family's 154-position model. The record is from RNAcentral.